Grus americana (Whooping crane) is the source of this 1716-nucleotide long non-coding RNA. RefSeq lists it as uncharacterized. The transcript has 3 exons. The record is from RefSeq and is a predicted model, not a curated record. Lineage: Eukaryota; Metazoa; Chordata; Aves; Gruiformes; Gruidae.
GGCCGCGGGCGGCCCCGCAGGGCUGGGAGGGGACCGCGCACCGGCACCGCGGGGGGACCGGCCUGCCGGGGGGCGACGGUGGCCGCGACGGGGAGAGAUGAAGCCUGAAAUACGCAAGAUCUGGUGUUUGGAUGGAAGACAACUUUCUUAUAUAAACCAGGAGAUCCUAAAAACCUUUAAACUGAAAUUCUCAGGAGGAAGUGGGAAGUAACUUGUAUAAUCCUCACAUGGAAUGCAAAUAGAGGGACGUGAAUGAGGAUGGAACAACAGAAAAGAUAGAUAAACAAAAGAAUAUGAUGAAUACGUGGAUUAUAUCUACAAGAACUUGCAACUUUACAGGUCUACCCCCUUUCUACAGUACUUCAAUCAAUAAGAGUAGCAGGAACAGUUGAUAUAGCAUGUGGAACCAGACAGUAUGGGCAAACAGGAACAUGGAGGUACCAAAGUCAUAAGUGAAAUAUAUUGGAACUGAAGGGUACACACUGUUUAGGAAAGACAAAAAAGGUGGUGAAAUAAUUUCAUGUUAAUGCACUAAGAACUGUUAAGAAGUAAAGGCUGUUAAACAACAGUGCAAUAAACAUGUUAAAUUUGAGGGUGAAGAUGAGAUAGUGUCUGCUUGAAUGAAAAUUACUGAGAAAAGGGUAGGAAAAAAACUUCAUGGGGAUGCAAUCUAUUAUGAAUCUGCUGAUACAGAUUUGAUCUGGAUAAUAAUGCCUAUAAAUAUAGGGAAAAAAGUAAAAAUCGAUAUUGUGUGAUUAUGCAAAUUGUGCAAUUUUGCUCACGGGCAAAUACCAGAAAAAAAUUCAACCAAUGAUGUUGGGGAUGAUAUGAAUUUGAACAUGAUGGAGAAUAGCUGCUUCUAUGGAACAGACACUGAGCAAGCAAGAGGCAAAGAUAACUUAGACACAGUUUUAGUGAAUGAUAGGAUCUGCAGGAAUGACUGAUGAUAGAACAUAAUCUUAAAUCUGGUGGUUUUGAGCUUUUCCAUUUCAUGUGAAGCUGUAAGACAGAAAGAUGUAGAGGAUCUGUAACUGCUGUCCAGUAUUUUUGAAAGGCAAACUGAGAAAAAAGUUUAGUGAGGUAGUCUUGCGUGAGGAGCACCAGAAUUAGAAUUCAGAUAAGGCAUGAUAUUACUUUAUGUAAAAAAAUACAAACACUAUUGAAUGUUUACAUUGGGGAAGAGGGGAGAAACAAACAAACAAAUAGAACAAACAACAGGGAUGAAAAAGAAUUCCCAGAAGGUAAAAACCUUAAGCAACUUAUUAAGGGUAAGUACAAAACCUAUAAAGAAUGGGAAAGAGAUAUCGAUUAGCGAGAAGAAAUCUGCAUCAAUAAUUAGAAGGUAUAAAACCAAACAGAAUGGUCAGAAGCCUUGUUAAACCAAAAUUUGCACAGAAAACUGAAACAUAAUAAAAACUUCUUAAGCCAUGUAAUAAAAAGAGAACUUCAGAAUUGGAAUGGAUGUUAAAGGAUGGGGUGGACAUUAAGAAUAAAGUAGGCCUGGACUAAAUAGCUACUGGAAAAGUUGUUUCUGUUUCUGGUAAGACUGCACAUGUAAAUUUUGAUACAUAAUGAAAGUAGGAAUAGGGCAAGAGAAAUCACAUCAUCAGCCUAUCUGGUACUGUGUGGCACAAGCAGUUGGCCCAGAAAAUUUCUGUUCUGUAGUACUGAAACAAUCAACCCAUGAAAUGCAAGUUCAGAAGUAAGCAAGUCUAA